Molecule: unclassified non-coding RNA, 649 nt
Filed under: Hevea brasiliensis (rubber tree)
Lineage: Eukaryota; Viridiplantae; Streptophyta; Magnoliopsida; Malpighiales; Euphorbiaceae
Source: RNAcentral
GAGAAAUUCAUCCAUAUAUGCCUACCUUUUUUAUAUUGAAAAAAAGAAUUCCCAUAAUAAGAAAUUGAACCAGCCUCAGUCGCUAAUUGAAGACCCCAAGGAAACAAUGCUAAGCAAUCACGUAUCUAAAGAAAGUCAUGAUUGAUACAAAUGGUUUGAGGGAGAAAAGACAUUACUGAAAUUACAAAGGAAUGAGAAUAGCACAAAGAACCCAUACCUUGAGUGGUAUUUGAGGGAGGCACAGACAAGAAGAGAAGGUCAUAUCUGGUGAAAAAUAAAGAUACCCACCAACAAUAAUGGCUUCUUCAUUUAGUUUGCACUAGUAAUUUAGAAGAAAAACUAAAAUACCAAAAACGAUGGAGUGGGCAUUUCCCAAUUCCCACUACAGAGGAAAUGGGUACGGGGAGGCAAAGCUUAGCAAAGAUGAAGCGAAAGAAAGCAAAAGAGAGCCCCAUACUGAGCACUCAAACCGACUACAACACAAACCGCAGCCUAAUAGAUGGCACACCACUGAAAAGACUAGUAACUGAGAGCAGACAGAAUGCCCCAUAUUCAGCACUCAAACCGACUACAACACAAACCGCAGCCUAAUAGAUGGCACACCACUGAAAAGACUAGUAACUGAGAGCAGACAGAAUGCCCCAUAUUC